CCCUUAGAUGUUCUGGGCCGCACGCGCGCUACACUGAGCCCUUCAUCGAGUUUACAACCUUGGCCGGUAGGCCUGGGUAAUCUUCUCAAAGGGGCUCGUGCUGGGGAUAGAUUAUUGUAAUUUUUAAUCUUCAACGAGGAAUUCCUAGUAAACGCAAGUCAACAGCUUGCAUUGAUUACGUCCCUGCCCUUUGUACACACCGCCCGUCGCUACUACCGAUUGAACGUUUUAGUGAGGCAUUUGGACCGACGCAUCUCAGUUUAACCGCUGGUUUGUGUUGGAAAGACUUCCAAACUUGAGCGUUUAGAGGAAGUAAAAGUCGUAACA
This 327-nucleotide ribosomal RNA is filed under the name uncultured eukaryote. Its description in RNAcentral is "partial 18S ribosomal RNA". It matches the Rfam family "Eukaryotic small subunit ribosomal RNA", at positions 1470 to 1796 of the family's 1831-position model. The record is from RNAcentral.